Megalops atlanticus (tarpon) is the source of this 72-nucleotide non-coding RNA. Lineage: Eukaryota; Metazoa; Chordata; Actinopteri; Elopiformes; Megalopidae. The record is from the annotation of a GenBank genome assembly.
GCCUUGUUAGCACAGUAGGUAGCACAUCAGGCUCAUAAUUUGAAGGUGUGAGUUUGAUUCUCACACAGGGCA